This 1306-nucleotide long non-coding RNA is filed under the name Chinchilla lanigera (long-tailed chinchilla). RNAcentral's name for it is "lncRNA (ENSCLAG00000028055.1)". The record is from RNAcentral. Lineage: Eukaryota; Metazoa; Chordata; Mammalia; Rodentia; Chinchillidae.
GGGUGAGAAGGUGACUAGCAUGGCCUGGCUGGAGAACUUCCCACUGGUUCCAGUCCGGACACGAGGCUUUGAGUCACAGACACACAGACAGGAUGUGGGGCUCGACCAGGGCUGCAACACUAAGCCUCCAGCAGUCUGCGGAUGGAGAGCGGAGUGGGGCACUGGCGUAUGUGGAGUGGAUCUGCUAGUUUAAGGAGAGCUCCGUGAGUAUCAGCUUUCUGAGGGAGAACUGAAAGCCUUCAAAAUGGAUGAAGGAAAUGUUUAUUUCUCUGCACCUGUCGGUUUUUCACACCGUGGAAGCUGUGGAUAACAUCAGUGAACGAACCCAUUUGCCGUCUGUGGCUGGAAGCCCGACGUUCUGUGGAAGCUGGAAUUACUUGGGUGCGGCAGUGGUUUGGAGCCCUGCUUCGGACGUGUACUACAACUUUUCAGUCUCAGAGCCUCGGAGUGAGAAAAUUCACAGGACUUCCUCUCCGGUGCAGCUGCCACGCACUCCUUGCCAUGGCACCUUGUGGACGCCUUCCUUUGUGCCUUUCUGCGCUUCUGUCCGCGGUAUCACACCAGUGACGCUGUGCGGUGUGCCUCACCGUUUCCUGGUACUCGCCCCUGAGGAGUUGCGCUGUGAGCUGAGGACCCGCGGGCCCCCGCCGCACUCUCCUGCGCAGGUUGCUGCUGUCGAUGCAGCCGUGGAUCUCCAGGAUCUCCAGGCCGAAAGCUCUCUGCUGUCAUCGCUGCACUCGCCCUGAGCCCUGGCUUCCUCCUCUGCAAACCCUCAGCCUUAGAGUCGCUGACAGGCCCAGCACACCGCCUGUAUUUUUCUGAGUGUCUUAAAUUUCAGCCUUCCACAUUUCUCAGAAACCCCAUCCUCCAUGUAGUCUAAGUGCACGGGGGUCAUUAUAUUACUCUUUUGGAGUAAUUCUGACGUCCAAACAAAGUUGGAAGACUUUGCUUACAACUUUCCUAGUGCUAUUUUUUUUUUUUUUCUAUCUUUAGUGUAGAUGAUGCAUUUUGACAAGUCCUUGACAGUGAAAUCUGAUUUUGCUGGCCUAGAAAAUACACAAAAAUUUGUAACUUGUCAAGACUUGAAUUUCUCUAUCACUGUGCUAUCUUUCAUCUGAGACGCUUGUGCAUUAACGCCUUUAAAAACUAUAAGCUGGGAAUGAGACGCUGAUGUUGCCUGCGGAAUUUUACGCUGUUAUUUAUUUUAUUUAUUUAUUUAUUUAUUUAUUUUUUUGUUUUGUUUUUUGGUUUUUCUCCGGUACCGGGAACCGAACUCACGACCUUGCGCUUGCCAGGCAGGCGCUUU